This is a non-coding RNA of Lentinula edodes (shiitake mushroom), 80 nucleotides long. The record is from Rfam. NCBI's taxonomy places the organism in Eukaryota, Fungi, Basidiomycota, Agaricomycetes, Agaricales, Omphalotaceae.
GCCUUCUUAGCUCAGGUGGUAGAGCGUUCCACUCGUAUUGCUAUAUGGAGAGGUCACUAGUUCGAAUCUGGUAGGAGGCA